This 508-nucleotide unclassified non-coding RNA is filed under the name Aureobasidium sp. FBCC2311. Its description in RNAcentral is "sequence contains 18S rRNA gene, ITS1, 5.8S rRNA gene, ITS2 and 28S rRNA gene". Lineage: Eukaryota; Fungi; Ascomycota; Dothideomycetes; Dothideales; Saccotheciaceae. The record is from RNAcentral.
GGUUUCAGUCGGCAGAGUUCCUCUCCUUUGACAGACGUUCGAAUAAAUUCUACUACGCCUAAAGCCGGAGUGGCCUCGCCGAGGUCUUUAAGGCGCGCCCAACUAAGGACGACGCCCAAUACCAAGCAUAGCUUGAGUGGUGUAAUGACGCUCGAACAGGCAUGCCCCUCGGAAUACCAAGGGGCGCAAUGUGCGUUCAAAGAUUCGAUGAUUCACUGAAUUCUGCAAUUCACAUUACUUAUCGCAUUUCGCUGCGUUCUUCAUCGAUGCGAGAACCAAGAGAUCCGUUGUUGAAAGUUUUGAUUUAUUCAAAAUUUUAACUCAGACGACCGGUUAAAUAACAAGAGUUUGGUUUAACUCUGGCGGGCGCUCGCCUGGGACGAAUCCCCAGCGGCUCGAGACCGAGCGGUCCCGCCAAAGCAACAAGGUAGUUUUAACAACAAAGGGUUGGAGGUCGGGCGCUGAGCACCCUUACUCUUUAAUGAUCCUUCCGCAGGUUCACCUACGG